UACGUAGGGGGCAAGCGUUGUCCGGGAUUAUUGGGCGUAAAGAGCUCGUAGGCGGUUUGUUGCGUCGGCUGUGAAAUCCCGAGGCUCAACCUCGGGUCUGCAGUCGAUACGAGCAAACUAGAGUGUUGCAGGGGAGACUGGAAUUCCUGGUGUAGCGGUGAAAUGCGCAGAUAUCAGGAGGAACACCGGUGGCGAAGGCGGGUCGCUGGGCAACAACUGACGCUGAGGAGCGAAAGCGUGGGGAGCGAACAGG
This 253-nucleotide ribosomal RNA is filed under the name uncultured bacterium. RNAcentral describes it as "partial 16S ribosomal RNA". It matches the Rfam family "Bacterial small subunit ribosomal RNA", at positions 524 to 776 of the family's 1533-position model. The record is from RNAcentral.